GACGAACGCUGGCGGCGUGCUUAACACAUGCAAGUCGAACGGUAAGGCUCCAGCUUGCUGGGGUACACGAGUGGCGAACGGGUGAGUAACACGUGGGUGACCUGCCCUGCACUUCGGGAUAAGCCUGGGAAACUGGGUCUAAUACCGGAUAGGACCGCACCAUGAGGGUGUGGUGGAAAGUUUUUUCGGUGUGGGAUGGGCCCGCGGCCUAUCAGCUUGUUGGUGGGGUAAUGGCCUACCAAGGCGGCGACGGGUAGCCGGCCUGAGAGGGUGGACGGCCACAUUGGGACUGAGACACGGCCCAGACUCCUACGGGAGGCAGCAGUGGGGAAUAUUGCACAAUGGGCGGAAGCCUGAUGCAGCGACGCCGCGUGGGGGAUGACGGCCUUCGGGUUGUAAACUCCUUUCACCAUCGACGAAGGGUUUCUGACGGUAGAUGGAGAAGAAGCACCGGCUAACUACGUG
This 465-nucleotide ribosomal RNA is filed under the name uncultured bacterium. Its description in RNAcentral is "partial 16S ribosomal RNA". It matches the Rfam family "Bacterial small subunit ribosomal RNA", at positions 28 to 507 of the family's 1533-position model. The record is from RNAcentral.